RNAcentral lists this ribosomal RNA (253 nucleotides) under uncultured bacterium. RNAcentral's name for it is "partial 16S ribosomal RNA". It matches the Rfam family "Bacterial small subunit ribosomal RNA", at positions 524 to 776 of the family's 1533-position model. The record is from RNAcentral.
GACAGAGGGUGCAAACGUUGUUCGGAUUCACUGGGCGUAAAGGGUGCGUAGGUGGCGUGGUAAGUUUGAUGUGAAAGCUCAGGGCUUAACCCUGAAAUGGCAUUGAAUACUACUGUGCUGGAGGUUUGGAGGGGGGACUGGAAUUCUUGGUGUAGCAGUGAAAUGCGUAGAUAUCAAGAGGAACACCAGUGGCGAAGGCGAGUCCCUGGACAACACCUGACACUGAGGCACGAAAGCUAGGGGAGCAAACAGG